UGUCCGAUGGUGUAAUUGGCAACACGUCUGAUUUUGGUUCAGAAGAGUCCAGGUUCGAGACCUGGUCGGACAACUA
Molecule: transfer RNA, 76 nt
Filed under: Flammeovirga sp. SJP92
Lineage: Bacteria; Pseudomonadati; Bacteroidota; Cytophagia; Cytophagales; Flammeovirgaceae
Description: tRNA-Gln
Rfam family: tRNA
About the family: Transfer RNA (tRNA) molecules are approximately 80 nucleotides in length. Their secondary structure includes four short double-helical elements and three loops (D, anti-codon, and T loops). Further hydrogen bonds mediate the characteristic L-shaped molecular structure. tRNAs have two regions of fundamental functional importance: the anti-codon, which is responsible for specific mRNA codon recognition, and the 3' end, to which the tRNAs corresponding amino acid is attached (by aminoacyl-tRNA synthetases). tRNAs cope with the degeneracy of the genetic code in two manners: having more than one tRNA (with a specific anti-codon) for a particular amino acid; and 'wobble' base-pairing, i.e. permitting non-standard base-pairing at the 3rd anti-codon position.
Source: RNAcentral